This 72-nucleotide transfer RNA is filed under the name Phrynosoma platyrhinos (Desert horned lizard). RNAcentral's name for it is "tRNA-OTHER". The record is from RNAcentral. Lineage: Eukaryota; Metazoa; Chordata; Lepidosauria; Squamata; Phrynosomatidae.
GCCAAGAUGGCACAGUGGUUUGAGUGUUGGACUAUGACUCUGGAGACCAGGGUUCGAUUUGCAGCUCAGCCA